AUUGAAUGCUGGCGGCAGGCCUAACACAUGCAAGUCGAGCGGUAGAGAGGUGCUUGCACCUCUUGAGAGCGGCGGACGGGUGAGUAAUGCCUAGGAAUCUGCCUGGUAGUGGGGGAUAACGCUCGGAAACGGACGCUAAUACCGGCAUACGUCCUACGGGAGAAAGCAGGGGGACCUUCGGGCCUUGCGCUAUCAGAUGA
RNAcentral lists this ribosomal RNA (200 nucleotides) under uncultured bacterium. RNAcentral's name for it is "partial 16S ribosomal RNA". It matches the Rfam family "Bacterial small subunit ribosomal RNA", at positions 30 to 228 of the family's 1533-position model. The record is from RNAcentral.